Molecule: ribosomal RNA, 442 nt
Filed under: uncultured bacterium
Lineage: Bacteria
Description: partial 16S ribosomal RNA
Rfam family: Bacterial small subunit ribosomal RNA
Source: RNAcentral
CCUACGGGAGGCAGCAGUGGGGAAUAUUGGGCAAUGGGCGCAAGCCUGACCCAGCAACGCCGCGUGAAGGAAGAAGGCUUUCGGGUUGUAAACUUCUUUUAAGAGGGAAGAGCAGAAGACGGUACCUCUGGAAUAAGCCACGGCUAACUACGUGCCAGCAGCCGCGGUAAUACGUAGGUGGCAAGCGUUGUCCGGAUUUACUGGGGGGAAAGGGCGUGCAGCCGGGAAGACAAGUCAGAUGGGAAAUCCCGCGGCUCAACCGCGGAACUGCAUUUGAAACUGUUUUUCUUGAGUACCGGAGAGGUCAUCGGACUUCCUUGUGUAGCGGUGACAUGCGUAGAUCUCAGGAAGAACCCCAGUGGCGACGGCGGAUGACUGGACGGCACCUGACGGUGCGGCGCGAACGCGUGGGGAGCACACAGGAUUAGAUACCCCUGUAGUC